UGGACACGCCCCCUCCAUUACUCGGCACACGCUUCGAAGCGUCGGCACAUCUCGUAACAUCACUAAUUAACUCUGAUAUAAUAACUGUUGGUUUAUUUAUCGGUGGAGCAGCAGAACAUUUUCCACAGACAGUUUUCCUGCCCGUUGGCUUGUUUUAACCAGUUUUCUGCCUUCGACUGAUUCUACCAGCAGACACUGAAAGGACUCUGAUAGUUCGAGUGAAAGUAGCAGUUCCUCCUUAAGGUCAGAGAUUGCAGCAUCUGAGGGCCUCUUCAAAAGAAGACGUAGUUGAUGAAGGCGUUCUGGAGCAGGACCAGAAAGACCACGACCAAGCAGCCUUGAGAUCUUAGGCAGCGUCUCCCUCAGACCAAAGAACUACAGACUCUUCACAACCUGCUCAAACUCUUGGUACAGAACCUCACCACACGGGUCAAGAAGGUUUCCAUCUCAUUUCUACUCUGAAGAUCACUUUCUCCUGCUCAAACUGCUGACAAAUGUUUCUGCUGCUCUAAAGUCUGAUCUACAGAACUUCCUAAAAACUCUCAAAGUCUCUUCUGCUGCAGGUUGCUUUGUAGAACUGUUCCAGAAAACCUCACUAAACCACAUGGAGGGGCCUCAAGAUAGUCGUCCAAAUGAAACCGUACAAAAACCAAACUAGCACAACCCAAACACUAAAGUCUCCUGCAGCCUACCAGAGAACCUCUGUGAACAGAGAAUCAGGACAGGAACUCUUACCUUCUGGACAACCAACGCUGGUUCACAAACAAGAAUACAGAAUGUGUCUGACCAAAAACCUCUGAAAACUCACUACAGCCAAGAUAAAGACACAACUCAGCUGCACCAAAUCCACUAAUCACUGCACACAUUAGCACCAUGUGCCAACUGUGGCUAAAGAACCACAUUUACCAAGACAACUGUCCAGUACAAAGCCCUAAAACACACCAAGAAACACAUUAAAGAUGAUUUUACUGCUGGAGGUUGCAAGCCAACGCCUAAACAAACUAAAGCAAUGGAGCCAAACCCGGUUCACUGGUGAAGAGAAACAGAGGAAAUGUUUGUCUGCAGCUAAAUAAAGCAGGAAGACACUGAGCAGCUCAGGUGUUCCUGAUAACACCAAGCAGCCACCUGGACAGCCAAUAGGAACACAGCUUACUGGAAGUCCAGAGGGCUGGGUUAGUGGAGUAAAUUUAGUUUAAAGUUGAAGCAGAAAGUUAACAAAGAAAGUUGAAAACCACCUUCUGAAACCUGAAAUCUCUGAGUUUUCACACAAAGAAUGUCUGAACAUGUCAAACUUCAUCGCUUUUUUGUUUUUUUUUAAUAGAUUUUUUCUUUAUACCGUGUAUGUUUGCAGAAAAAUGACGUCAUGAGGCAACCAUAAUAACAUUGCACUGCAGGUCAAGUUAGGUUGUAGAAAAUCUGGAAGAGCAAGAACGCAAUAUUGCAACCCAGAGGUUGGAGCAUGGAGCUGGAAUAUGUAGUGCUGCUUCUCUAUGGUAUCUUGGUGGAGUCAAUUCCAUGCAGAUGUCCAACUCUAGACGAGGCAAAACAUCCCUGAAUAGUUCUACCACCAGGUUUCACAGUGGGUUUGAUACACUACAGUAUCAUUUUCCCUCCUGUUGGUCUCUUUAGAUACACCCCACAACUGUCACACUUGGAUUCAUCUCAUUUUUUCCAGUCAUCCACUGAGAAAUGCGGCUAUGUCUCAGCCCAGGCCAAGUGUCUGGCCUUGUUUCCCCUCCUGAGAAGCAGUUUAAAGAUGUUAUUUGUCCUUGUUAAGGAAAUUCUCAAAGUUAAAUAAAUGCUCUCAAAACAGAUAAGUGUUCUCUCUGAGUUUUAUUGGAUGCAGUCCCUGAGCAGCCACUGCAGCUGAAUGAGUGCUUUUAGCUCUCUCAGCAAACAGCUUUAUACAUUUUUGAUGGAAAUAAUUACAUUCUCCUUGCCUAUUUCUCGACUCUCUGAGGAACACUAGCUUAUAUGUGCUUAAUUCUUUGCCCUGGGUCAUGUCUGGAUCUUGUACUGGCCAGUUCACAGUCACGAGGUCAGCUUUGUCGUGUUGGUCGCCCAGUAAACAAUGUCCUCUAUUGAAGACAUGAGUUGUUAUGACAGCGUGGGUCUUAAUUGCUCAUGCAC
This is a long non-coding RNA of Amphiprion ocellaris (clown anemonefish), 2130 nucleotides long. The record is from Ensembl. Lineage: Eukaryota; Metazoa; Chordata; Actinopteri; Pomacentridae.